AAUUCAGUUUGAAGCUAAAUCUUCAUCUCCAAUUAAAUAUUUAUCCAUCAAGCUGAACGACUUCUGGUUCUGGUUCUGGACCGGCCCAGCAGACCCAGACAGUAACUGAAGUCUGUCUUCCUUCCACAGAGUUUUCUGGAGAACAGCCACCCGGCCCUGCAGUCCCUGGAGUCCCUUCAGUCUCGGGCCAUGGCCGAGUUCUCCAAGGUGGCGUCCUUCUUCGGGGAGGACAGCCAGUCCACCAGCACCGACUCCUUCUUCGGCAUCUUUGCAGAGUUCAUGUCCAAGUUUGAGAGAGCGCUGAGUGAGACCCAGAGUCCUGAGAACCCCCGCAGCCCCCGGCUGUCCUCCCCCCUGGCCUGGUAGGAGCCGCCGAGCCGACCGGACCGGAUCAGGACUGGAUCGGAUCAGGAUCGGAUUGGAUUAGGUGCUGAAACAGACAGAACGUUGCUAUCUCUGUAUGAAGGAGAAUAUUUAUUAGCAUUAUUACUAAUAUUAUUAUUAUAACUAAUAAUAAUGAUAACAUAAUAUUAUCAUUAUUACUAAUAUUAUUAUCAUUAUUAUCAGUAAUAAUAAUGAUAAUAAACUUGUUAUUAUCAAAUUGUUGCCGCGUUCGCCCGGAUCGUCGCUGGCCUUCGGCUCAGCAGCUGUUGUAGAUCCAUCUGUUGCUAUGGGAGACGGGUUCGCUGGUGUCCCAUCAGAACCCAGGAGACAAACCGGGUCUGAUGGACAGUCUGAAUCCAAAAGCUCCAGAACCACCAAGACCAACAUCUGGACCUGCAGCUCUGAAGACGGUCAACAGAACCGACCUGGUUAGACCAGAUGUUCUGAUUCUUCUUCAUGAGUUCCACUUUGGCCCAAACUGGUCCGAUCAAAGGAGCAAAAUGGUUGAACUGGUCCGGAACCACUGAUCCGACUGUGAUGUAACUCUUUGAUCUUCUAGUUUUUAUUGAUCAAUAGUCUGAUCAAUAAAAACUGAAUUUUCAUCUUGAUGGCGAAUAAUGUUCAGGAUUUCUGGCAGAGAUGUAAAAAUCGUUGAUGUUAUGAUUAAAUGAAUCAAUUUUCUCCUUCACAGCCACUAAACAUAAGUUUCUAGUUUAAAUAUCUAAAUCUAGUUGGAGUAAACAUUUUCACGUUAAAUAAUGUUAAUAACUGAUUUGUUCUGCAGCUCCAAUAAAUUCAUGUUUUCACUUCUGGAGCUCGUUUUUCAUCGGGUCAGAUUUCAGACCUUCAGAGCUGAGGUCCAGAUUUACUCCAGAUGAUUCUAGAUUUAAUCUGACAAUCAGACGGAGAGCAAAGUGAAUAUUUAUUAUGUAAUAAAUGCUUUUAUUUUUUAAGAAGUCGAUAUGAAGAAAUUUCUGAUCUGAUGAACGUUUUUCAUCACUUCAAUCUGCAAUCCGUUAAAAUCCGUUUUGAUCCGUUAGUUUGGUUUCAGGUUAUUAUAAACCGAGUCCAGAUGUUUGCCACUGCCUGCUGGUUUACCUGGUAACCAUGGCGACCUGUCCUGUCCAGUCGUGUUGUCGAUCUUUCUAUGCAUCCUGCUUGUUGGCUCUGCCCCAAAAAUCCGUUUAUUUUCUUAUGAAACUUUUUCUUGUUCGGCUUCAGUGAGGCGGCGCGGCAGCAUGACGUCACUUCCUGUUGGGAUGUGCAGCUGGUAGCAUCUCACUAGUUCCAGUAAGGUUCUGUUCUGAUGUUCUGUGGUUCUCAGAGCUUUUCUGCUUUAAAUAAACUUCAUGUUUUGGAUUUUGAGUCCUUACAUUUAUUCUCCAGUUCUGACACUUUGGGUCAGAACCGGGUCGGUCCCGUUCAGUUCUGGUUUUCAGAAAAAAGUUCCAGCAGAACUUUAGAUGUUCCUCUGAAAAGAACCAAAGAAGGAUUCAGUUAACAGUAAUCCGUUCACUGAAUAGGAACAAAUUAGUAAAUUAUGCAGAUUUUUCACUGAACAUUUGAUCUUAUUCUAUAAUCCAUUAGAAAUACAAUAAAAGAUUAAAAUAAAUUCAAAUUAGUCGUUCUGGUAGAACAGAAUAAAGAUUCUCAUAUAUUAAAUGUUCAUAUUGAACAGUUUUGGUUCAAUUAUUCAACUAAUCAAUGAUUAAGUUAGAUUAUGUCAAUAACUGAUUUCAGGCCCAGAUAACUCCUGAUUUAAUGAAUGUUUUUAUUUUUCCGCAUUUUUUUAUCGUAAUAAAACAUUUUCCUGAUUAUUCUGAUCAGAAACAUGCAGAUGCCAGCAGAUCACCAGACAGGAAACAUGUUUAAUCUUCAUAUACUUUAUUUUCUUUGGGAAGCUUCAAUAUUACAGGAUUUUUCAUAUUUCAGCUCAGAAAACAUGAUAAACGUCGGAGCUUCAAGAUGCUGCAGUUAUAAUAAAUGAGCCUGAAGGAUUCUGGGAAAUAAGGCAGCGAGGUUCAGGAGGGAGAGCCGAACGUCCAACGCCUUCCCCUCACGUUCCCACCCGGCAGAACCUCCCCCGGCGUCAUGGCUGAAGCUUCCUGUCAGCUCAGAGGGGGACGAAGGCAGCAUCAUCAUCAUCAGUUUAUCUGUGCAAAACCGGCCGCUCGGAACCGGCCCACUCUACAUUCACUCUGACCCAGACGGCGCUGAGGAAAGGCAGAAACUGACCAGAACCGGGUUCUAGUGAGGGAUGGCAGCUCAUGUCCCUGAAGGCAGAAACGCAGGAAACAGAACCGUAAGGCAUGGCUGGCGCUGGACUGCAGUGUGUGUGUGUGUGUGUGUGUGUGUGUGUGUGUGUGUGUGUGUGUGUGUGGGUGUGUGUGUGUGUGUGAGUCAUGCCCUCAUGCUGGGAGCCAGGCUGGGCUGGUUAAGGCCACAUGUUUGGUCCAGAGAGAAAACAGGACAAACACAAAGCAACCAGGCUGCAGAGCAAAGAAAUAAAAACUAGAUGAAAUCUUCACGGCUCAGGAUCUGAAGCAGAGGACGGACUCGGGUUUCGCUGAAUGUGGUGAACAGGAAGUGGACGGCUGAGCCGUUUGGCGUUUCCUGC
This is a long non-coding RNA of Poecilia latipinna (sailfin molly), 3001 nucleotides long. RefSeq lists it as uncharacterized. NCBI's taxonomy places the organism in Eukaryota, Metazoa, Chordata, Actinopteri, Cyprinodontiformes, Poeciliidae. The transcript is spliced from 3 exons. The record is from RefSeq and is a predicted model, not a curated record.